UGGGGAAUAUUGGACAAUGGGCGAAAGCCUGAUCCAGCCAUGCCGCGUGUGUGAAGAAGGUCUUCGGAUUGUAAAGCACUUUAAGUUGGGAGGAAGGGCAGUAAGCGAAUACCUUGCUGUUUUGACGUUACCGACAGAAUAAGCACCGGCUAACUCUGUGCCAGCAGCCGCGGUAAUACAGAGGGUGCAAGCGUUAAUCGGAAUUACUGGGCGUAAAGCGUGCGUAGGCGGCUAAUUGAGUCGGAUGUGAAAUCCCCGAGCUUAACUUGGGAAUUGCAUUCGAUACUGGUUAGCUAGAGUGUGGGAGAGGAUGGUAGAAUUCCAGGUGUAGCGGUGAAAUGCGUAGAGAUCUGGAGGAAUACCGAUGGCGAAGGCAGCCAUCUGGCCUAACACUGACGCUGAGGUGCGAAAGCAUGGGGAGCAAACAGG
This 429-nucleotide ribosomal RNA is filed under the name Pseudomonadota bacterium. Its description in RNAcentral is "Proteobacteria bacterium partial 16S ribosomal RNA". It matches the Rfam family "Bacterial small subunit ribosomal RNA", at positions 355 to 776 of the family's 1533-position model. Lineage: Bacteria; Pseudomonadati; Pseudomonadota. The record is from RNAcentral.